CACGUAGGAGGCGAGCGUUAUUCGGAUUUACUGGGCGUAAAGCGCGUGUAGGCGGCUCAAUAAGUUGGAUGUGAAAGCUCCCGGCUUAACUGGGAGAGGACGUUCAAAACUAUAGAGCUUGAGUGUGAGAGAGGAAAAUGGAAUUCCGGGUGUAGUGGUGAAAUGCGUAGAUAUCCGGAGGAACACCAGUGGCGAAGGCGAUUUUCUGGCUCGCAACUGACGCUCAGACGCGAAAGCUAGGGUAGCAAACGGGAUUAGAGACCCCGGUAGUCCUAGCUGUAAACGAUGUAGACUAGGCGUUGGUGGAGUAAAAUCCAUCAGUGCCGGAGCAAACGCGAUAAGUCUACCGCCUGGGGACUACGGCCGCAAGGUUA
Molecule: ribosomal RNA, 374 nt
Filed under: uncultured bacterium
Lineage: Bacteria
Description: bacterial SSU rRNA
Rfam family: Bacterial small subunit ribosomal RNA
Source: RNAcentral